Molecule: long non-coding RNA, 1553 nt
Organism: Orbicella faveolata
Lineage: Eukaryota; Metazoa; Cnidaria; Anthozoa; Scleractinia; Merulinidae
Source: RefSeq, a predicted model, not a curated record
CUUUUUUUGUUUCCUUCCAAAGCGACUAUAUGUUCUUCACUUUAAAGCGAAAUUCAAUAGUGCAAGAGACGAAUAUGUCUUCGUUUGCGACAACCAAGCACUCGGAAAUUUCCGAUUUGUAUUAUUCUAGCAAAAACUAUCGUGAGUUUUUGGAAUGCUCUUUUUUGCGACAGUUAGUGAGUCGAAAGGCUGAUCGCGUAGCGAAUACCUCUCUAUCUAAGAUUAGCCUCAACAAUGUUUUUCCGUCUCUCUAACAGAUCAUAAAUCCUCGAACGAAGAAAGGUUUCCUUCACCGUGGCGUCCCCAUCCCUGUCCCCCCUGAGGAUGUUUUGAAGGAGCGGGCCAUUACAGAAGAACAUCUUUACCUUGUACUGUUCUUUGACACAAGACGAACUUGGCAAUGGCUUCCUCGACACAAACUCGAACCGUUGGGACAGCACGAAGAACGAGACGAGAACAAGUUGCAGGAGGGUCGCAAAACAUCCAUGAGAAAAUCAGUGAUGAUGGCUUACGAACGCGCUAUUAUCCACAGGGACCAAGUAGAGAGGGGUGGAUCCCGAGACUCCGACGACGACGAAGACGACGAUGAUUACGACGACGACAAUGCCGACGACGAUGAUGACGUGGAUGGACGAGUGAACGAGAACGGCAACGAUGCAGAGGACGAUGAAGAAAGCGAUAAUGACGAUGAUGGUAAUGACGAGCAUGAUCCAUUGGAGGAAAAUGGAUUUGUUUAGAGAUGUUUUUAUCGCAAGAACUGUAGCCAAACCUUGCGUGAUGUUAGUUUAAUGGUUUCUUAGCUUCUCCAAUUUGAUUCAACUCCCAUCGGACCAAAAAAAUACACUAUCAAAAAUUCAAUGAAGUUGUGGAGCUACUAACAAACAGAAUUUGAUACUUUGUAAAUUUUGCAUGAAGCAAUUUCACAUUCUUGUCCAGAGUCCGCGAUCUUUUUGCUCAGGACCAAGAAUAGCGACCUUUGGCCGGAGCUAAUUUUUCGAACUUUGUUUUCUCAUGUUUUUUCUCUUUGGUGUAUCAGCCAGAUACAUUUCAAGAAUACUAGAUGAUGGCCAGAGGUCACGAGUGUUGGUGCCGACCAAAACGAUUGCGGUCUCUGGAGAAGGGAUCUUACGCUACGUUCAUUAACUAACGAUUUUAUGCCACACAAUGAAACUGUCCAUGAAUCUGGCGUACUUUCUGACAUUUUUACUCUUCAGUCCGAUGUAAAGUUAAUAAAAUUAGCACGAAGGCAAAAGGGUUUUUCGAAAUUAAAAAUGUUCGCAACCUCAAGCAGUUAGACAGUGGAAUAGUGUUUUUAAAAUGUUGCACAUUAAAUAUGAACUGUACAAUUGUAUUUAUAUCUAGAAGAAAGAAAUCGAUAUGUAAAUCCUGUGCUAUUUUUUUUUCCGAGACAUGUCUGUUUUUUCAACAAAUCGAGUGACGCCCGCGGAAAUAAUUCUGUGUUUUGUAUAUUUCUCUCUCCAUUCUUAUGUGUUGUUUGUCCUGUAAAUUGUUGCAGCCCAGGGUCAAUAAACUCGUCUAUUCUGACAUUGUUG